Molecule: transfer RNA, 68 nt
Filed under: Marmota monax (woodchuck)
Lineage: Eukaryota; Metazoa; Chordata; Mammalia; Rodentia; Sciuridae
Description: tRNA.Ala
Rfam family: tRNA (bases 3-63)
About the family: Transfer RNA (tRNA) molecules are approximately 80 nucleotides in length. Their secondary structure includes four short double-helical elements and three loops (D, anti-codon, and T loops). Further hydrogen bonds mediate the characteristic L-shaped molecular structure. tRNAs have two regions of fundamental functional importance: the anti-codon, which is responsible for specific mRNA codon recognition, and the 3' end, to which the tRNAs corresponding amino acid is attached (by aminoacyl-tRNA synthetases). tRNAs cope with the degeneracy of the genetic code in two manners: having more than one tRNA (with a specific anti-codon) for a particular amino acid; and 'wobble' base-pairing, i.e. permitting non-standard base-pairing at the 3rd anti-codon position.
Source: RNAcentral
GCUGGGGCUCAGUGGCAGAGCGCUUGCCUAGCAUGCGUGAGGCCCUGGGUUCGAUUCUCAGCACUGCA